CAUCUCGUCGGUGGUUGCGAACAUCGGCAUGUCCCAGGCUGGGACGCAGCGCGGUGGAGGAGGUCGCCGGUGCCGGGGGCACGAGGACGAGGGGGAUUUCUCGUAGGGUUUCUGGUCGACGCCUCUUCCUCUCCAUCGUGCUUGCGAGCCAUAGGGUUUGUAUGAUCUUCCUCCCCUCCUGCUGGUAAUCUCCCUCCCCUCCUGCUCUGUUCCGACGGGUUCGUUUCGAGCCAUAGGGUUUGUAUGAUCUUCAACUGGCAAUGCUGCAUGCGAUGUGAUAUUAUUAAUUUUGGAACAUAUAACCUGAUGAAAAAUCGUGUUCUUGAUUGGUGGUAUGAUGGAAGAGUUUGGCAUUGCUUAGUUCUAUAAACUUGAAGGGAACUCUGAACAUGCACUUUAAACAACAUUUCCUUUCGCUGGGAACAAGAAAAGCUACAACUUGCUGACACACUGUCAUAAAUAAAUCAGUUUUAAUCCCAAAUUUUUAAAAUUCGAUAGCAUCCACAUUCACAAAUACUUAAUUGAUCAGAUUGAUUUUCCAUCAGCUUUUCAUUGGACAAGAAGUGUCUUCAUUACCUUUUCACUCUCGCUCAAUGAACAAAGUUAUUUGCUGAAGAGAGUAAAAUGGUGAUUCAGACUCUCCAAAUCCUGCUAACAGAACUUCCAUGAGGAGAUAUCAGGGUGAUGCAUAGGCUCCGAGUUUUGAAGACGAGUCUAUGAAUGGCUAUAAUGUUGUCUUAAGGAUCAGAACCAUGAUAUGCACUGAGAGAGCCUUGUCAGAAGAUUACAGGAAUUGGAUGUCUCCAUCUGUUCAAAUUGAAUAUCAUAUGAUGGAUCUCUGCUGUGUAAGGCACCCUUGCAACAUGGCAACACCACUGUUGUAGCCCGCAACCUCAAAACACAUUGAUGUUGGACGGGGGCACAUGGGGAGCUGCCAUGGACCGUCACCUGAUUUCUGUUGGCCUAGCCACUUAUUGCAGGCGGAGGUGCUACAUGUCCUCUCUGGGGCGUUCUCUCUUGUAGCUGCGUGUGCCACCAUCACCUCUGGAACGCCCACAACUCCUCCAUCAGGUGCUGAGCCGAUAAAGUUGACUACAAGUGCAGGCGCUCCAGGCGCACUUUGAAGGGCUUAGUACGAAGCAAUUCUCACUUGCCUAUACCCGAUAAAGAAUUAUGAUAACCUCUGAGACGAUAUGAAAAAUAUGCAUUUUCAUGUAGUUUUAACGUUCUCGUUCCAUGUGUCUAUAUGUUUGUAUCAAUUUCUAUCAUUCAAUUGUCCAAACUGACGGGCGCGGCCAUCAUGAUCUAGUAUGGGACAUGUCCGAAGACCGACCGAGCACGCGUCUCUUCUUCCUCGCUCCCCUCCUCCACCCGUUGCCGCUUCUCCUCCUACCUCUGGCCGGCGAUUGGAACAUACUGUAGCAGUCCCAUACGCCCACAAGUAUCCCUUGCUCUUCAAGGCGGGGCGAGGCGGCGCGGCGCGGCCGCACGGGGCGGCGGGCGCAGGAGAGGCGGCCGCAAGCGGGCAGGCCAGGCGGCGCGGCGGCCGCAGAAACGGGGCCUGCACGGGGCGGCGGGUGCAGGCGGCGGGGCCGCACGCACGGGGCUCGCGGCGGGCUUAAGAGGGUAGGCGAGGGCGCGAGGGGCGCACGAGAGGGGGCCGCAGGGGGGCAGGCCAGGCGGCGCGGCGGGCACAGGAGCGGGGGCCGCACGGGGCGGCCGGCGCAGGAGGCGCGGCCGCACGCACGGGGCUCCCGACGGCCUCAAGAGAUUUAUGGAUGACACUGGACAAAGGGCAUCCCGCUAGACCAGGAAAGGCUAAUAUUUGCUGGGAAGCAGCUGGAAGAUGGACGGGCAUCCGCCGACCACAACAUUCAGAAAGAGUCGACACUACAUUUGAGAGCGUAUGUAUGAACAUCAGCGUCCAUACGCUCAAUGCUAAACUUGGCUAUGAUCACUAGAUUUGAGGUUUUCUUCUGUAGAAUGACUGCUUCAGUCGAAAUAUUAAUAAUGUGGGCAACAUUAAUAAAAAGGGUAGUUGACAGGGAUUGCUUGACAGUGUAAUUAGUUUAUGAAAUGAACAUAUCUUAUUGGCCACGAAGUGUUCUCUUUGCUCCAAAUUGUGAUGAGUUUUCAA
Molecule: long non-coding RNA, 2137 nt
Organism: Brachypodium distachyon (stiff brome)
Lineage: Eukaryota; Viridiplantae; Streptophyta; Magnoliopsida; Poales; Poaceae
Exons: 5
Source: RefSeq, a predicted model, not a curated record